Molecule: ribosomal RNA, 497 nt
Filed under: uncultured bacterium
Lineage: Bacteria
Description: partial 16S ribosomal RNA
Rfam family: Bacterial small subunit ribosomal RNA
Source: RNAcentral
GAUGAACGCUGGCGGCGUGCCUAAUACAUGCAAGUCGAGCGAACGGACGAGAAGCUUGCUUUUCUGAUGUUAGCGGCGGACGGGUGAGUAACACGUGGAUAACCUACCUAUAAGACUUGGAUAACUUCGGGAAACCGGAGCUAAUACCGGAUAAUAUUUUGAACCGCAUGGCUCAAAAGUGAAAGACGGUCUUGCUGUAACUUAUAGAUGUAUCCGCGCUGCAUUAGCUACUUGGUAAGCUAACGGCUUACCAAGACAACGAUGCAUAGCCGACCUGAGAGAUUGAUCGGCCACACUGAAAGUGAGAGCCGGUACAGACUCCUUCGGGGGGGAGCAGUAGGGAAUCUUGCGCAAUGGGCGAGAGCCUGACGGAACAACGCCGCUUGUGUGACGAAGGUCUUCGUAUCGUAAUACUCUGUUAUUAGGGAAGAACAUGUUUGUACUUAACUGUGCACAUCUUGACGGUACCUAAUCAGAAAGCCACGGCUAACUACGUG